GCUUACGGCCACACCGGCCUGAGUACGCCUGAUCUCGUCCGAUCUCGGAAGCUAAGCAGGGUCGGGCCUGGUUAGUACUGGAUGGGAGACCGCCUGGGAAUACCAGGUGCUGUAAGCU
Oncorhynchus mykiss (rainbow trout) is the source of this 118-nucleotide ribosomal RNA. The record is from Ensembl. NCBI's taxonomy places the organism in Eukaryota, Metazoa, Chordata, Actinopteri, Salmoniformes, Salmonidae.